GUCUCAGUAGCAUAGUGGAUACUGCACAGCCCCGGUUACGCGCAAGACGCGGGUUCGAAUCCCGCCUGGUAUA
RNAcentral lists this transfer RNA (73 nucleotides) under Nippostrongylus brasiliensis. It matches the Rfam family "tRNA". From Rfam's summary of the family: Transfer RNA (tRNA) molecules are approximately 80 nucleotides in length. Their secondary structure includes four short double-helical elements and three loops (D, anti-codon, and T loops). The record is from Rfam by way of RNAcentral. Lineage: Eukaryota; Metazoa; Nematoda; Chromadorea; Rhabditida; Heligmosomidae.